CGGUCGGAUCCUAUCCAGCUAAUCCAUUAGAGGAACAGCCAGCUUGGUUACGCCUAUCCAUUUACUUGUUCAGACCCGGGCACUCACUGGCUUGCGUGAAGGGAAAUGUGAAGCUUUUGUUAUGUCUGGUGGGCUCAAGCACACUUCACUGCUUUCUUGUUGUGCCCGAGCUAGCUUCACAAGCACCAAAAAUUGGGACAC
This 201-nucleotide long non-coding RNA is filed under the name Elaeis guineensis (African oil palm). RNAcentral's name for it is "long non-coding RNA (EGUI_LNC015256)". The record is from RNAcentral. Lineage: Eukaryota; Viridiplantae; Streptophyta; Magnoliopsida; Arecales; Arecaceae.